This 1239-nucleotide long non-coding RNA is filed under the name Delphinapterus leucas (beluga whale). RNAcentral describes it as "lncRNA (ENSDLEG00000014512.1)". Lineage: Eukaryota; Metazoa; Chordata; Mammalia; Artiodactyla; Monodontidae. The record is from RNAcentral.
AUGGUUUACCGCAUAUUCCCUAACUUAGGGUUUCGAAUUUACAAACACUUCCAUUUUCCCUGUCAAAGCCCCGUCCCGCACCACAGAUACAGCCUCGCCCUCCAACCCCGCCCCGAGAGGCUCCAUCAUUUUCGAACACCUUGUCACGAGCCCAGGGCAGGCCCUGCGCCGAACGCGACCUCCGCCUUCCCACCACGUGUCCCGCGUCCCCACCGCAGGGCGGAAGGACGCGGCUCCGCUCGCGUCGCGGCGACGGAGCCGCAAGGCCCCUCCCCUGCCACAGCGUCUCCCGGCCGCCGGCGCCCGCCGCUCAAAGGUGCCGGCAAGACCAGCGCCCGGCCCCGCCGGGCUCUGGGCCGACGGGGCAGACGGCAGCGGCCGCCGCGGCACCACGGAGGUCUCCGGCGAGGCGAGGCGGGGCGGGGCUCUGGCUGGGCGGGGCUCCGGCCGGCGUGGCGCUGCCGGCGUGCGGGGCUCCUCCCCUUUCCCCCGGCGGCGGCGCCGGCGGCCGCAGAACUUCCGGGUCGGCGCGGAGGCGGGGCGGAGGCGCCGCAGCGGCUGUUAUUGUUCAGCUGGGCUCCGCUGGGCGCUGUCUCCCUUGGCUCAGAGGGUGUCAAUUUGUCCCGCUUCCUCUCGACCCCUCACUCCCGGAGGCUGACGACGACGGCGGCGGCUGCGGCGGGCGGGGCCUGGCGUUUCGAGGCUGAGCGGCGCCGGGGUGAGGGGCGCGGAGAAGGAGGAGCAGAAGCAGGAGGAGGAGCCGCGUGCCCUGGCACCGAGCGGCCGCGGCCAUGGCGUACGCCUAUCUUUUCAAGUACAUUAUCAUCGGCGACACAGGUGAGCCCCGGAGCGCGGCGGGCGGGGGUCGGCGGCCUCCGGGCCGGGGCUGGGGGGCAAACGGCGUCUGGCCGCGGCGCGGGAGCUGCCGCCGCCGGGCGCCUCCCCCCCCGGCCGCGCCGCUCCAUUUCCGCAGUGCUGGAGCUGGUGACGUGGGCACUGCGAGCGGCCGCGGCCUUGCCUGGCCGGCCCGGCCCGCCGCCCCGGCCCCGGCCCUGCAGCUGGGGGCCGCGGCCGCCGUUUCGACGCGCGAUCUGGGGAGUGUAUGAGAGGAGGGCCGGCCCAGCCCGGGGCCGUCAGAGCCUGGCUCUGAGGAUCGCACGCCCUGCCCCGGGCCCCUCGCCUUGGGCCUCUUCGCCGCCCCCGAGAGAGGAAAGCGGGGCCGAGGAGAGCAGACGGUGA